ACACGCAUGACACACUGCAUAUCAAUAAGCGGAGGAAAAGAAACUAACAAGGAUUCCCCUUAGUAACGGCGAGUGAAGCGGGAAGAGCUCAAAUUUGAAAUCUUCAAGGUUCUACCUUGACGAAUUGUAGUUUAUAGAAGUGUUUUCUGUUAGUAGAGUGGCAAAAGUUCUUUGGAAUAGGACAUCAUAGAGGGUGAGAAUCCCGUAUUUGGUCAUUCUUUCUAGCGUUGUGAUACACUUUCAACGAGUCGGAUUGUUUGGGAAUGCAGUCCAAAAUGGGUGGUAAAUUUCAUCUAAAGCUAAAUAUUGGCGAGAGACCGAUAGCGAACAAGUACCGUGAGGGAAAGAUGAAAAGAACUUUGAAAAGAGAGUUAAACAGUACGUGAAAUUGUCAAAAGGGAAGCGUUUGACACCAGUGUUGUUUUUCCGAAAAUCAAUUACGAAUGUUUUAUUUUUGAGGAGUUAUGACUUCAUCGGCUUGCUCCUUUCUUUAUGAAACUUUCUUAAUGCACUUUUCGGUUAACAAGUCAACAUCAAUUUCUUUUGUUGUAAAAGGGUAUGAGGAAGGUGACUUUCUUUUCGGAGAAAGUGUUUAUAGCCUUGUGCCUCUGCAAUCGGAGAGAUUGAGGUCUGCAGCGUAGAUCCUUCGGGGUUAGAUACGUUUGUGCUAAGUUAUAGCUUUUCAUAGACAACUUGUUGACUAUGUUUAGUCUUGUAGCUUACUCGCUUACGCUAUUUUACCUACGCUUAGGAUGUUGAGCGCAUGUCUCUCUCU
This 775-nucleotide ribosomal RNA is filed under the name uncultured Neocallimastigales. RNAcentral's name for it is "partial large subunit ribosomal RNA". It matches the Rfam family "Eukaryotic large subunit ribosomal RNA", at positions 23 to 637 of the family's 3401-position model. The record is from RNAcentral. Lineage: Eukaryota; Fungi; Neocallimastigomycota; Neocallimastigomycetes; Neocallimastigales.